GGCCCUGUAGCUCAACUGGAUAGAGUACCUGACUACGGAUCAGGCGGUUAAAGGUUCAAAUCCUUUCAGGGUCACAA
This 77-nucleotide transfer RNA is filed under the name Flavobacteriales bacterium. RNAcentral describes it as "tRNA-Arg". It matches the Rfam family "tRNA". From Rfam's summary of the family: Transfer RNA (tRNA) molecules are approximately 80 nucleotides in length. Their secondary structure includes four short double-helical elements and three loops (D, anti-codon, and T loops). Further hydrogen bonds mediate the characteristic L-shaped molecular structure. tRNAs have two regions of fundamental functional importance: the anti-codon, which is responsible for specific mRNA codon recognition, and the 3' end, to which the tRNAs corresponding amino acid is attached (by aminoacyl-tRNA synthetases). tRNAs cope with the degeneracy of the genetic code in two manners: having more than one tRNA (with a specific anti-codon) for a particular amino acid; and 'wobble' base-pairing, i.e. permitting non-standard base-pairing at the 3rd anti-codon position. Lineage: Bacteria; Pseudomonadati; Bacteroidota; Flavobacteriia; Flavobacteriales. The record is from RNAcentral.